This 292-nucleotide long non-coding RNA is filed under the name Setaria italica (foxtail millet). RNAcentral's name for it is "long non-coding RNA (SITA_LNC002818)". The record is from RNAcentral. Lineage: Eukaryota; Viridiplantae; Streptophyta; Magnoliopsida; Poales; Poaceae.
GACACUCAAGUUGUCGCGCAAGCCGGGGCAGCCGCUGCGUCACUACUGUUAGAGGCCGUGCAGGUAAACUUAUGUUUAACCCUUCCGAUUGUUGUUUUGAUAUUAAUCCUUCUUAUCUUAGACUGCACAGAUUACCCCUAUGGACACACAAUAAUCGGCAGCAACCCAAUCGGCCAUGGACGCGCCCCCGCUUCCAUCCGUUGAGGUAUAACACUAUUUCACCGAUUCCCCUAGUAUUUGAAUAAUAUGCUCAUUCAACCUUCUGACACAGGUCAUCGGCACGCCAAGCGCC